This 522-nucleotide ribosomal RNA is filed under the name uncultured Glomeromycotina. Its description in RNAcentral is "SSU rRNA". It matches the Rfam family "Eukaryotic small subunit ribosomal RNA", at positions 569 to 1092 of the family's 1831-position model. Lineage: Eukaryota; Fungi; Glomeromycota. The record is from RNAcentral.
AGCAGCCGCGGUAAUUCCAGCUCCAAUAGCGUAUAUUAAAGUUGUUGCAGUUAAAAAGCUUGUAGUUGAAUUUCGGGAUCAAUCUAUCGGUCGUGCCAAUGGUAUGAACUGGUACAAUUGGUUUCUCCCUUCUGACGAAGCAUGAUGUCAUUAAUUUGGUGUCGUGGGGAAUCAGGACUGUUACUUUGAAAAAAUUAGAGUGUUUAAAGCAAGCAUUAGCUUGAAUACAUUAGCAUGGAAUAAUGAAAUAGGACGUUUGAUCCUAUUUCGUUGGUUUCUAGGAUCGACGUAAUGAUUAAUAGGGAUAGUUGGGGGCAUUAGUAUUCAAUUGUCAGAGGUGAAAUUCUUGGAUUUAUUGAAGACUAACUACUGCGAAAGCAUUUGCCAAGGAUGUUUUCAUUAAUCAAGAACGAAAGUUAGGGGAUCGAAGACGAUCAGAUACCGUCGUAGUCUUAACCAUAAACUAUGCCGACUAGGGAUCGGAUGAUGUUAAUUUUUUAAUGACUCAUUCGGCGCCUUACG